This is a long non-coding RNA of Beta vulgaris subsp. vulgaris (sugar beet), 1029 nucleotides long. RefSeq lists it as uncharacterized. The transcript has 2 exons. The record is from RefSeq and is a predicted model, not a curated record. NCBI's taxonomy places the organism in Eukaryota, Viridiplantae, Streptophyta, Magnoliopsida, Caryophyllales, Amaranthaceae.
AUGCUAAUGGUUUCAGAAGGUAAUAAAUAAUAAUGGAAUGUGAGAAUUCAAUUUUUACUUUGUUUUGAAUGGAAAUUGAGGCGCUAGAUUGUGUUAGGUUGAGCAUUGUAUAAGCGAUGGCGUGGUGUAAAAGACUUUUGGAAUUGUUCGUUUGCUUAUAGUACAUGCUUGCAGUUGCAGUUGUUAGUUGUAGUUACGAGCCCUAUUAUACUUUUGGUAGUUCCUAUCUGCCUAAACAAUCAUAUGACUUUUAUGAGACGUGGUCAGUGUUUAGGUAAUUAGAUGAUCUACUACUUUUUGGCUCUUUAUUACACAUAUAUUUAUUUGGGAAUUAGUUUGGUCAAUUGUGAUUGUAUAUCGAGAAAUUUUGUUUACUCAAAACUCAUUACUGUUUCGACUUUGAUGUUUGUGGCUAACAAAACUCUAUCAGCUGCUUCCUGUAGUUCUAGACAUGCAGAUGGACCUAAGUGUCUGGGAAGUUAAGCCUCUCAAGAUGACCGGUGAAAACGAGGCUCGGAAAAUUCUGGACAACGUAGCGAAACAGGUGCAGCCAAUCAUGCAUAAGCAUAAAUUGAAAGUUCAGGUCCUAUCUGAAUUCUGUCCAUCUAAUCCAUCCCUCAUGGGGUUGAACAUAGGAGGCGGCUCUGAGAUUAAGAUAAGAUUGAGAAGACCAGAAAGACAGUGGGAUUUCUUUCCCUAUGAGCAGAAAGUAUAGAGAAGACCCAACUCUUAUCUUGAGCGCGAUUCGUCACCCACACUUGCUGUUGUUACUUGGUGCUGUUCCAGAAGAGAGUUGCCUUAUAUAUGAGUACAGGAUCUGCUAUGAAGUAGCAAAUGCUCUUGCCUUUCUCCACAGCACUUUGUGAUUCCAUGUAAAAGUGUAAAAGUAUACUAGAAUUUAGUUCUAGAAUUAUUUUUUCACAGCCUAGAUGAUAGGAUCUGCUAUGUAAAAGUAUAUUAGAAUUUAGUUCUAGAAUUAUUUUUUCACUUGUAUCUACAUUUAUUAUCAAUAAUAAUUGAAUUGAUUAA